Molecule: ribosomal RNA, 577 nt
Filed under: uncultured bacterium
Lineage: Bacteria
Description: bacterial SSU rRNA
Rfam family: Bacterial small subunit ribosomal RNA
Source: RNAcentral
CCUACGGGAGGCAGCAGUGAGGAAUAUUGGACAAUGGAGGCAACUCUGAUCCAGCCAUGCCGCGUGAAGGAUGACUGCCCUAUGGGUUGUAAACUUCUUUUAUAUGGGAAGAACUGCAGAUACGUGUAUUUGUUUGACGGUACCAUACGAAUAAGGACCGGCUAACUCCGUGCCAGCAGCCGCGGUAAUACGGAGGGUCCAAGCGUUAUCCGGAAUCAUUGGGUUUAAAGGGUUCGUAGGCGGGCUAAUCAGUCAGAGGUGAAAUCCAGCAGCUUAACUGUUGAACUGCCUUUGAUACUGUUAGUCUUGAGUCAUAUGGAAGUAGAUAGAAUAUGUAGUGUAGCGGUGAAAUGCAUAGAUAUUACAUAGAAUACCGAUUGCGAAGGCAGUCUACUACGUAUUGACUGACGCUGAUGAACGAAAGCGUGGGGAGCGAACGGGAUUAGAUACCCCGGUAGUCCACGCCGUAAACGAUGGACACUAGUUGUUGGGUUUCGGCUCAGUGACUAAGCGAAAGUGAUAAGUGUCCCACCUGGGGAGUACGGUCGCAAGAUUGAAACUCAAAGGAAUUGACGGA